This 209-nucleotide long non-coding RNA is filed under the name Carica papaya (papaya). RNAcentral's name for it is "long non-coding RNA (CPAP_LNC004084)". The record is from RNAcentral. Lineage: Eukaryota; Viridiplantae; Streptophyta; Magnoliopsida; Brassicales; Caricaceae.
GCCAUGCGCCGCUGCCAUUUGCCACUAAUCGCCACUAAGGAUUGGCUGAAAUUCACCGUAGAGCACUUCGUGCCCUUAUAUCCGAGACAGAUUUGGUGGAAUCGCACCGAAGGGAGCAGCAGAACAACAAAACACGCGUCAAGUUGCCGCACAGCACCAGCCUUUCAUCUGCCUUUUUUUUUUCUUUUUCUUCCUCUCCUCUCUCGGUU